This 239-nucleotide ribosomal RNA is filed under the name uncultured bacterium. RNAcentral's name for it is "partial 16S ribosomal RNA". It matches the Rfam family "Bacterial small subunit ribosomal RNA", at positions 29 to 292 of the family's 1533-position model. The record is from RNAcentral.
AACGAACGCUGGCGGCAGGCCUAACACAUGCAAGUCGAACGCCGUAGCAAUACGGAGUGGCAGACGGGUGAGUAACACGUGGGAACGUACCCUUCGGUUCGGGAGUAACUACAGGGAAACGUUAGAGCUAAUACCGGAUACGUCCGAGAGGAGAAAGAUUAUCGCCGAAAGAUCGGCCCGCGUCUGAUUAGCUAGUUGGUGUGGUAACGGCGCACCAAGGCGACGAUCAGUAGCUGGUC